AACGAACGCUGGCGGCAGGCUUAACACAUGCAAGUCGAACGCCCCGCAAGGGGAGUGGCAGACGGGUGAGUAACGCGUGGGAAUCUACCGUACCCUACGGAAUAACGCAUGGAAGCGUGUGCUAAUACCGUAUACGCCCUUCGGGGGAAAGAUUUAUCGGGGUAUGAUGAGCCCGCGUUGGAUUAGCUAGUUGGUGGGGUAAAGGCCUACCAAGGCGACGAUCCAUAGCUGGUCUGAGAGGAUGAUCAGCCACAUUGGGACUGAGACACGGCCCAAACUCCUACGGGAGGCAGCAGUGGGGAAUAUUGGACAAUGGGCGCAAGCCUGAUCCAGCCAUGCCGCGUGAGUGAUGAAGGUCUUAGGAUUGUAAAGCUCUUUCACCGAUGAAGAUAAUGACGGUAGUCGGAGAAGAAGCCCCGGCUAA
RNAcentral lists this ribosomal RNA (424 nucleotides) under uncultured bacterium. Its description in RNAcentral is "bacterial SSU rRNA". It matches the Rfam family "Bacterial small subunit ribosomal RNA", at positions 29 to 500 of the family's 1533-position model. The record is from RNAcentral.